Molecule: unclassified non-coding RNA, 259 nt
Filed under: uncultured fungus
Lineage: Eukaryota; Fungi
Description: sequence contains ITS1, 5.8S rRNA gene
Rfam family: 5.8S ribosomal RNA (bases 211-259)
Source: RNAcentral
UCUCCGUUGGUGAACCAGCGGAGGGAUCAUUACUGAGUUUACGCUCUAUAACCCUUUGUGAACAUACCUAUAACUGUUGCUUCGGCGGGUAGGGUCUCCGCGACCCUCCCGGCCUCCCGGCCCUCCCGUCCGCGGGUGGGGCGCCCGCCGGAGGAUAACCAAACUCUGAUUUAACGACGUUUCUUCUGAGUGGUACAAGCAAAUAAUCAAAACUUUUAACAACGGAUCUCUUGGUUCUGGCAUCGAUGAAGAACGCAGC